RNAcentral lists this ribosomal RNA (478 nucleotides) under uncultured organism. Its description in RNAcentral is "partial 16S ribosomal RNA". It matches the Rfam family "Bacterial small subunit ribosomal RNA", at positions 332 to 801 of the family's 1533-position model. The record is from RNAcentral.
UACACUCCUACGGGAGGCAGCAGUGGGGAAUUUUGGACAAUGGGCGAAAGCCUGAUCCAGCAAUGCCGCGUGAGUGAAGAAGGCCUUCGGGUUGUAAAGCUCUUUUGUCAGGGAAGAAACGGUGAAAGCUAAUAUCUUUUGCUAAUGACGGUACCUGAAGAAUAAGCACCGGCUAACUACGUGCCAGCAGCCGCGGUAAUACGUAGGGUGCAAGCGUUAAUCGGAAUUACUGGGCGUAAAGCGUGCGCAGGCGGUUUUGUAAGUCUGAUGUGAAAUCCCCGGGCUCAACCUGGGAAUUGCAUUGGAGACUGCAAGGCUAGAAUCUGGCAGAGGGGGGUAGAAUUCCACGUGUAGCAGUGAAAUGCGUAGAUAUGUGGAGGAACACCGAUGGCGAAGGCAGCCCCCUGGGUCAAGAUUGACGCUCAUGCACGAAAGCGUGGGGAGCAAACAGGAUUAGAAACCCUAGUAGUCCCAUGAU